This 73-nucleotide transfer RNA is filed under the name endosymbiont of unidentified scaly snail isolate Monju. It matches the Rfam family "tRNA". Rfam says of the family: Transfer RNA (tRNA) molecules are approximately 80 nucleotides in length. Their secondary structure includes four short double-helical elements and three loops (D, anti-codon, and T loops). Lineage: Bacteria; Pseudomonadati; Pseudomonadota; Gammaproteobacteria. The record is from Rfam by way of RNAcentral.
GGGUCGUUAGCUCAGUUGGUAGAGCAGCUGACUUUUAAUCAGUUGGUCGCAGGUUCGAAUCCUGCACGACCCA